RNAcentral lists this ribosomal RNA (514 nucleotides) under uncultured bacterium. Its description in RNAcentral is "partial 16S ribosomal RNA". It matches the Rfam family "Bacterial small subunit ribosomal RNA", at positions 29 to 523 of the family's 1533-position model. The record is from RNAcentral.
AGCGAACGCUGGCGGCGUGCUUAACACAUGCAAGUCGAACGUGAAAAGGCUUCGGCCUUAGUAAAGUGGCGUACGGGUGAGUAACACGUGGGUAAUCUACCCUAAAGUUUGGAAUAACCUGCCGAAAGGCGGGCUAAUACUGGAUAGGUCGAGACUUUCAUUGAGAUUGUCUCGGGAAAGGGAGCUCGCAAGAGCCCUCGCUUUAGGAUGAGCCUGCGUCCCAUUAGCUAGUUGGUAGGGUAAUGGCCUACCAAGGCUACGAUGGGUAGCUGGUCUGAGAGGACGAUCAGCCACACUGGAACUGAAACACGGUCCAGACUCCUACGGGAGGCAGCAGUGGGGAAUCUUGCGCAAUGGACGAAAGUCUGACGCAGCAACGCCGCGUGAGUGAAGAAGGCCUGCGGGUCGUAAAGCUCUGUCGAAUGGGACGAAAACUUCAUAGGUUAAUAGCCUAUGGAAUUGACGGUACCAUUAGAGGAAGCACCGGCUAGCUCCGUGCCAGCAGCCGCCGUAA